CCUGCACGAAUGGCGUAAUGAUGGCCAGGCUGUCUCCACCCGAGACUCAGUGAAAUUGAACUCGCUGUGAAGAUGCAGUGUACCCGCGGCAAGACGGAAAGACCCCGUGAACCUUUACUAUAGCUUGACACUGAACAUUGAGCCUUGAUGUGUAGGAUAGGUGGGAGGCUUUGAAGCGUGGACGCCAGUCUGCGUGGAGCCGACCUUGAAAUACCACCCUUUAAUGUUUGAUGUUCUAACGUGGACCCGUGAUCCGGGUUGCGGACAGUGUCUGGUGGGUAGUUUGACUGGGGCGGUCUCCUCCUAAAGAGUAACGGAGGAGCACGAAGGUUGGCUAAUCCUGGUCGGACAUC
Molecule: ribosomal RNA, 353 nt
Filed under: Salmonella enterica subsp. enterica serovar Montevideo str. CFSAN004346
Lineage: Bacteria; Pseudomonadati; Pseudomonadota; Gammaproteobacteria; Enterobacterales; Enterobacteriaceae
Description: bacterial LSU rRNA
Rfam family: Bacterial large subunit ribosomal RNA
Source: RNAcentral